GAGGGGUGGGGGAUAGCAUCGGGGGAGAUGCUUUGAAUGCCAUUGAAAUCUUAGCUUGUACAAACAAAGCAUAAGAAUUGAAAGGUGCCUGAAGAAAACCCCCCAACAUCAAUGUCUUCCAUAAACUUACUCUCAAUGCUUCAAUGAUGUCGCCACCCUUCAGGCAACUUACACAAGUCAACUUUUCAUUAUGGAUUCUUCUCAUCAACCCUCUCUUCUCCCAAAUAAGUUCAUGAUUUUUCAUCUC
This 247-nucleotide long non-coding RNA is filed under the name Physcomitrium patens. RNAcentral's name for it is "long non-coding RNA (PPAT_LNC013946)". Lineage: Eukaryota; Viridiplantae; Streptophyta; Bryopsida; Funariales; Funariaceae. The record is from RNAcentral.